AGUGAACGCUGGCGGUAGGCCUAACACAUGCAAGUCGAACGGCAGCACAGUAAGAGCUUGCUCUUACGGGUGGCGAGUGGCGGACGGGUGAGGAAUACAUCGGAAUCUACUUUUUCGUGGGGGAUAACGUAGGGAAACUUACGCUAAUACCGCAUACGACCUACGGGUGAAAGCAGGGGAUCUUCGGACCUUGCGCGAUUGAAUGAGCCGAUGUCGGAUUAGCUAGUUGGCGGGGUAAAGGCCCACCAAGGCGACGAUCCGUAGCUGGUCUGAGAGGAUGAUCAGCCACACUGGAACUGAGACACGGUCCAGACUCCUACGGGAGGCAGCAGUGGGGAAUAUUGGACAAUGGGCGCAAGCCUGAUCCAGCCAUACCGCGUGGGUGAAGAAGGCCUUCGGGUUGUAAAGCCCUUUUGUUGGGAAAGAAAAGCAGAAGGUUAAUACCCCGCUGUUCCGACGGUACCCAAAGAAUAAGCACCGGCUAACUUCGUG
RNAcentral lists this ribosomal RNA (492 nucleotides) under uncultured bacterium. Its description in RNAcentral is "partial 16S ribosomal RNA". It matches the Rfam family "Bacterial small subunit ribosomal RNA", at positions 29 to 507 of the family's 1533-position model. The record is from RNAcentral.